RNAcentral lists this ribosomal RNA (253 nucleotides) under uncultured bacterium. Its description in RNAcentral is "partial 16S ribosomal RNA". It matches the Rfam family "Bacterial small subunit ribosomal RNA", at positions 524 to 776 of the family's 1533-position model. The record is from RNAcentral.
GACGAACCGUGCGAACGUUGUUCGGAUUCACUGGGCUUAAAGGGCGCGUAGGCGGGUGAUCAAGUCCGGGGUGAAAUCCUCCAGCUCAACUGGAGAAUAGCCUUGGAUACUGGUCGUCUUGAGGGAGGUAGGGGCAUGUGGAACUUCCGGUGGAGCGGUGAAAUGCGUAGAUAUCGGAAGGAACGCCGGUGGCGAAAGCGACGUGCUGGACCUCUUCUGACGCUGAGGCGCGAAAGCCAGGGGAGCAAACGGG